UCACCCCUCAAGCCCCGGCUUGGUGUUGGGCACGCCUGGAGCUUUUGUCCUCCCGGCGACCCUAAAGAUAAUGACGGCGUCCCAGAGGACCCCAGUACAUUGAGCUUUCGGGCACGUACUCGGUUUUGGACCCUGGAGCGACCGGUCUCUUUUUUAAAUUUCUGAA
Molecule: unclassified non-coding RNA, 166 nt
Filed under: uncultured Chaetothyriales
Lineage: Eukaryota; Fungi; Ascomycota; Eurotiomycetes; Chaetothyriales
Description: sequence contains ITS2
Source: RNAcentral